UUAAGUUAUUAAGGGCGCACGGUGGAUGCCUUGGCACUAGAAGCCGAUGAAGGACGUUACUAACGACGAUAUGCUUUGGGGAGCUGUAAGUAAGCUUUGAUCCAGAGAUUUCCGAAUGGGGAAACCCAGCAUGAGUUAUGUCAUGUUAUCGAUAUGUGAAUACAUAGCAUAUCAGAAGGCACACCCGGAGAACUGAAACAUCUUAGUACCCGGAGGAAGAAAAAGAAAAUUCGAUUCCCUUAGUAGCGGCGAGCGAAACGGGAAGAGCCCAAACCAACAAGCUUGCUUGUUGGGGUUGUAGGACACUCUAUACGGAGUUACAAAGGACGACAUUAGACGAAUCAUCUGGAAAGAUGAAUCAAAGAAGGUAAUAAUCCUGUAGUCGAAAAUGUUGUCUCUCUUGAGUGGAUCCUGAGUACGACGGAACACGUGAAAUUCCGUCGGAAUCUGGGAGGACCAUCUCCUAAGGCUAAAUACUCUCUAGUGACCGAUAGUGAACCAGUACCGUGAGGGAAAGGUGACCAGCACCCCGGAAGGGGAGUGAAAUAGAACCUGAAACCGUGUGCUUACAAGUAGUCAGAGCCCGUUAAUGGGUGAUGGCGUGCCUUUUGUAGAAUGAACCGGCGAGUUACGAUUUGAUGCAAGGUUAAGCAGUAAAUGUGGAGCCGUAGCGAAAGCGAGUCUGAAUAGGGCGUUUAGUAUUUGGUCGUAGACCCGAAACCAGGUGAUCUACCCUUGGUCAGGUUGAAGUUCAGGUAACACUGAAUGGAGGACCGAACCGACUUACGUUGAAAAGUGAGCGGAUGAACUGAGGGUAGCGGAGAAAUUCCAAUCGAACCUGGAGAUAGCUGGUUCUCUCCGAAAUAGCUUUAGGGCUAGCCUCAAGUGAUGAUUAUUGGAGGUAGAGCACUGUUUGGACGAGGGGCCCCUCUCGGGUUACCGAAUUCAGACAAACUCCGAAUGCCAAUUAAUUUAACUUGGGAGUCAGAACAUGGGUGAUAAGGUCCGUGUUCGAAAGGGAAACAGCCCAGACCACCAGCUAAGGUCCCAAAAUAUAUGUUAAGUGGAAAAGGAUGUGGCGUUGCCCAGACAACUAGGAUGUUGGCUUAGAAGCAGCCAUCAUUUAAAGAGUGCGUAAUAGCUCACUAGUCGAGUGACACUGCGCCGAAAAUGUACCGGGGCUAAACAUAUUACCGAAGCUGUGGAUUGUCCUUUGGACAAUGGUAGGAGAGCGUUCUAAGGGCGUUGAAGCAUGAUCGUAAGGACAUGUGGAGCGCUUAGAAGUGAGAAUGCCGGUGUGAGUAGCGAAAGACGGGUGAGAAUCCCGUCCACCGAUUGACUAAGGUUUCCAGAGGAAGGCUCGUCCGCUCUGGGUUAGUCGGGUCCUAAGCUGAGGCCGACAGGCGUAGGCGAUGGUUAACAGGUUGUUAUUCCUGUACCACCUAUAAUCGUUUUAAUCGAUGGGGGGACGCAGUAGGAUAGGCGAAGCGUGCGAUUGGAUUGCACGUCUAAGCAGUAAGGCUGAGUAUUAGGCAAAUCCGGUACUCGUUAAGGCUGAGCUGUGAUGGGGAGAAGACAUUGUGUCUUCGAGUCGUUGAUUUCACACUGCCGAGAAAAGCCUCUAGAUAGAAAAUAGGUGCCCGUACCGCAAACCGACACAGGUAGUCAAGAUGAGAAUUCUAAGGUGAGCGAGCGAACUCUCGUUAAGGAACUCGGCAAAAUGACCCCGUAACUUCGGGAGAAGGGGUGCUCUUUAGGGUUAACGCCCAGAAGAGCCGCAGUGAAUAGGCCCAAGCGACUGUUUAUCAAAAACACAGGUCUCUGCUAAACCGUAAGGUGAUGUAUAGGGGCUGACGCCUGCCCGGUGCUGGAAGGUUAAGAGGAGUGGUUAGCUUCUGCGAAGCUACGAAUCGAAGCCCCAGUAAACGGCGGCCGUAACUAUAACGGUCCUAAGGUAGCGAAAUUCCUUGUCGGGUAAGUUCCGACCCGCACGAAAGGCGUAACGAUUUGGGCACUGUCUCAACGAGAGACUCGGUGAAAUCAUAGUACCUGUGAAGAUGCAGGUUACCCGCGACAGGACGGAAAGACCCCGUGGAGCUUUACUGUAGCCUGAUAUUGAAAUUCGGCACAGCUUGUACAGGAUAGGUAGGAGCCUUUGAAACGUGAGCGCUAGCUUACGUGGAGGCGCUGGUGGGAUACUACCCUAGCUGUGUUGGCUUUCUAACCCGCACCACUUAUCGUGGUGGGAGACAGUGUCAGGCGGGCAGUUUGACUGGGGCGGGCGCCUCCUAAAAGGUAACGGAGGCGCUCAAAGGUUCCCUCAGAAUGGUUGGAAAUCAUUCAUAGAGUGUAAAGGCAUAAGGGAGCUUGACUGCGAGACCUACAAGUCGAGCAGGGUCGAAAGACGGACUUAGUGAUCCGGUGGUUCCGCAUGGAAGGGCCAUCGCUCAACGGAUAAAAGCUACCCCGGGGAUAACAGGCUUAUCUCCCCCAAGAGUUCACAUCGACGGGGAGGUUUGGCACCUCGAUGUCGGCUCAUCGCAUCCUGGGGCUGUAGUCGGUCCCAAGGGUUGGGCUGUUCGCCCAUUAAAGCGGUACGCGAGCUGGGUUCAGAACGUCGUGAGACAGUUCGGUCCCUAUCCGUCGUGGGCGUAGGAAAUUUGAGAGGAGCUGUCCUUAGUACGAGAGGACCGGGAUGGACAUACCUCUGGUGUACCAGUUGUCGUGCCAACGGCAUAGCUGGGUAGCUAUGUGUUGGACGGGAUAAGUGCUGAAAGCAUCUAAGCAUGAAGCCCCCCUCAAGAUGAGAUUUCCCAACUUCGGUUAUAAGAUCCCUCAAAGAUGAUGAGGUUAAUAGGUUCGAGGGGGAAGCAUGGUGACAUGUGGAGCUGACGAAUACUAAUCGAUCGAAGACUUAAUCAA
Molecule: ribosomal RNA, 2922 nt
Filed under: Staphylococcus aureus
Lineage: Bacteria; Bacillati; Bacillota; Bacilli; Caryophanales; Staphylococcaceae
Description: 23S ribosomal RNA
Rfam family: Bacterial large subunit ribosomal RNA
Source: RNAcentral